RNAcentral lists this ribosomal RNA (484 nucleotides) under uncultured bacterium. Its description in RNAcentral is "partial 16S ribosomal RNA". It matches the Rfam family "Bacterial small subunit ribosomal RNA", at positions 29 to 507 of the family's 1533-position model. The record is from RNAcentral.
AUUGAACGCUGGCGGCAUGCUUUACACAUGCAAGUCGAACGGCAGCGCGGGCUUCGGCCUGGCGGCGAGUGGCGAACGGGUGAGUAAUACAUCGGAACGUGCCCAGUAGUGGGGGAUAGCUCGGCGAAAGCCGGAUUAAUACCGCAUACGACCUGAGGGUGAAAGCGGGGGAUCUUCGGACCUCGCGCUAUUGGAGCGGCCGAUGGCAGAUUAGCUAGUUGGUGGGGUAAAGGCCUACCAAGGCGACGAUCUGUAGCUGGUCUGAGAGGACGACCAGCCACACUGGGACUGAGACACGGCCCAGACUCCUACGGGAGGCAGCAGUGGGGAAUUUUGGACAAUGGGCGAAAGCCUGAUCCAGCAAUGCCACGUGUGUGAUGAAGGCCUUCGGGUUGUAAAGCACUUUUGGCGGGAACGAAAAGGACUGUGCCAAUACCACGGUUCGAUGACGGUACCCGCAGAAUAAGCACCGGCUAACUACGUG